RNAcentral lists this ribosomal RNA (497 nucleotides) under uncultured bacterium. RNAcentral describes it as "partial 16S ribosomal RNA". It matches the Rfam family "Bacterial small subunit ribosomal RNA", at positions 28 to 507 of the family's 1533-position model. The record is from RNAcentral.
GAUGAACGCUGGCGGCGUGCCUAAUACAUGCAAGUCGAGCGAACAGACGAGGAGCUUGCUCCUCUGACGUUAGCGGCGGACGGGUGAGUAACACGUGGAUAACCUACCUAUAAGACUGGGAUAACUUCGGGAAACCGGAGCUAAUACCGGAUAAUAUAUUGAACCGCAUGGUUCAAUAGUGAAAGACGGUUUUGCUGUCACUUAUAGAUGGAUCCGCGCCGCAUUAGCUAGUUGGUAAGGUAACGGCUUACCAAGGCAACGAUGCGUAGCCGACCUGAGAGGGUGAUCGGCCACACUGGAGCUGAGACACGGACCAGACUCCUACGGGAGGCAGCAGUAGGGAAUCUUCCGCAAUGGGCGAAAGCCUGACGGAGCAACGCCGCGUGAGUGAUGAAGGUCUUCGGAUCGUAAAACUCUGUUAUUAGGGAAGAACAAAUGUGUAAGUAACUAUGCACGUCUUGACGGUACCUAAUCAGAAAGCCACGGCUAACUACGUG